GAUGAACGCUGGCGGCGUGCCUAAUACAUGCAAGUCGAGCGAACAGACGAGGAGCUUGCUCCUCUGACGUUAGCGGCGGACGGGUGAGUAACACGUGGAUAACCUACCUAUAAGACUGGGAUAACUUCGGGAAACCGGAGCUAAUACCGGAUAAUAUAUUGAACCGCAUGGUUCAAUAGUGAAAGACGGUUUUGCUGUCACUUAUAGAUGGAUCCGCGCCGCAUUAGCUAGUUGGUAAGGUAACGGCUUACCAAGGCAACGAUGCGUAGCCGACCUGAGAGGGUGAUCGGCCACACUGGAACUGAGACACGGUCCAGACUCCUACGGGAGGCAGCAGUAGGGAAUCUUCCGCAAAGGGCGAAAGCUUGACGGAGCAACGCCGCGUGAGUGAUGAAGGUCUUCGGAUCGUAAAACUCUGUUAUUAGGGAAGAACAAAUGUGUAAGUGACUAUGCACGUCUUGACGGUACCUAAUCAGAAAGUCACGGCUGACUACGUG
Molecule: ribosomal RNA, 497 nt
Filed under: uncultured bacterium
Lineage: Bacteria
Description: partial 16S ribosomal RNA
Rfam family: Bacterial small subunit ribosomal RNA
Source: RNAcentral